GAUCCUGGCUCAGGACGAACGCUGGCGGCGCGCCUAUCACAUGCAAGUCGAACGAGCGAGAGAGAGCUUGCUUUCUUGAGCGAGUGGCGAACGGGUGAGUAACGCGUGAGGAACCUGCCUCAAAGAGGGGGGACAACAGUUGGAAACGACUGCUAAUACCGCAUAAGCCCACGGCUCGGCAUCGAGCAGAGGGAAAAGGAGCAAUCCGCUUUGAGAUGGCCUCGCGUCCGA
RNAcentral lists this ribosomal RNA (231 nucleotides) under uncultured bacterium. RNAcentral describes it as "partial 16S ribosomal RNA". It matches the Rfam family "Bacterial small subunit ribosomal RNA", at positions 15 to 240 of the family's 1533-position model. The record is from RNAcentral.